Molecule: ribosomal RNA, 460 nt
Filed under: uncultured bacterium
Lineage: Bacteria
Description: partial 16S ribosomal RNA
Rfam family: Bacterial small subunit ribosomal RNA
Source: RNAcentral
CCUACGGGGGACAGCAGUGAGGAAUAUUGGUCAAUGGGCGCGAGCCUGAACCAGCCAAGUAGCGUGAAGGAUGACUGCCCUACGGGUUGUAAACUUCUUUUAUAAAGGAAUAAAGUGAGGCACGUGUGCCUUUUUGUAUGUACUUUAUGAAUAAGGAUCGGCUAACUCCGUGCCAGCAGCCGCGGUAAUACGGAGGAUCCGAGCGUUAUCCGGAUUUAUUGGGUUUAAAGGGAGCGUAGAUGGGUUGUUAAGUCAGUUGUGAAAGUUUGCGGCGCAACCGUAAAAUUGCAAUUGAUACUGGCAGCCUUGAGUACAGUUGAGGUAGGCGGAAUUCGUGGUGUAGCGGUGAAAUGCUUAGAUAUCACGAAGAACACCGAUUGCGAAGGCAGCUUACUAAACUGUGACUGACAUUGAUGCUCGAAAGUGUGGGUAUCAAACAGGAUUAGAUACCCUGGUAGUC